This 348-nucleotide long non-coding RNA is filed under the name Anas platyrhynchos platyrhynchos (common mallard). RNAcentral describes it as "lncRNA (ENSAPLG00000028941.1)". The record is from RNAcentral. Lineage: Eukaryota; Metazoa; Chordata; Aves; Anseriformes; Anatidae.
GAUGCAGCCAGUGCUGUGCUGAGACAAAAGCAGCUUCAGUGCUGUGCUGAGCUUUUUCUUCCUCUACUACUGCAGGAGACACGAGCAGUAUGAGAUGCUGCUGUCUGGUGUAAUGGGCUGUUAUUGAAGAAGAGAGAGCUUUUCCACAGAUCUCCCUGGGCAUCCGAUCACUCCUUCAAAGAGGCCUCCUGGGAAUUUUCAUUACUAUUUGGACAGAAACCAAAAUUAUGCAGACCAAACCUUCAUUUAAUAUUGCAUUAAGCCUUUCAAAGGGCAUCCUUUUACUACAAAACUGAAGAAAGCACUGGAAGUUGGAGCACGUCUUUUAAGGGUUUCCAGGCAGCCGGU